AGUCACUGACAUUAGAUACCCGCGUAGUCCCAGCCGUAAACAAUGUGCGUUAAGGUGUGUCGGUAACCACGCGUUACUGAUGCGCCGAAGAGAAAUCGUGAAACGCACCACCUGGGAAGUACGGUCGCAAGGCUGAAACUUAAAGGAAUUGGCGGGGAGCACCACAACAGGUGGAGCCUGCGGUUUAAUUGGAUUCAACGCCGGACAUCUCACCGGAUAAGACAGCUGAAUGAUUGUCAAUCUGAAGGUUUUACAUGACUAGCUG
RNAcentral lists this ribosomal RNA (265 nucleotides) under uncultured archaeon. RNAcentral's name for it is "partial 16S ribosomal RNA". It matches the Rfam family "Archaeal small subunit ribosomal RNA", at positions 716 to 982 of the family's 1478-position model. The record is from RNAcentral.